UACAGAGGGUGCAAGCGUUGUCCGGAAUCAUUGGGCGUAAAGAGCGUGUAGGCGGCCACUUAAGUCCUGCGUGAAAUCCUGCGGCUCAACCGCAGGCGGUCGUGGGAAACUGGGUGGCUAGAGUGCGGGAGAGGAGAGUGGAAUUCCUGGUGUAGCGGUGGAAUGCGCAGAUAUCGGGAGGAACACCAGUGGCGAAGGCGACUUCCUGGCCUGUUCUUGACGCUGAGGCGCGAAAGCUAGGGGAGCAAACGGG
Molecule: ribosomal RNA, 253 nt
Filed under: uncultured bacterium
Lineage: Bacteria
Description: partial 16S ribosomal RNA
Rfam family: Bacterial small subunit ribosomal RNA
Source: RNAcentral